This 253-nucleotide ribosomal RNA is filed under the name uncultured bacterium. RNAcentral describes it as "partial 16S ribosomal RNA". It matches the Rfam family "Bacterial small subunit ribosomal RNA", at positions 524 to 776 of the family's 1533-position model. The record is from RNAcentral.
UACGUAGGGGGCUAGCGUUGUCCGGAAUCAUUGGGCGUAAAGAGCGUGUAGGCGGCCCGGUAAGUCCGCUGUAAAAGUCAAAGGCUCAACUUUUGAAUGUCAGUGGAUACUGCCGGGCUAGAGUCCGGAAGAGGCGAGUGGAACUCCUGGUGUAGCGGUGGAAUGCGCAGAUAUCAGGAAGAACACCAACGGCGAAGGCAGCUCGCUGGGACGGUACUGACGCUGAGACGCGAAAGCGUGGGGAGCAAACAGG